AGAAGAGAAAUCCCUUUUGACUGGGAGAUUGGGGAAGGCUUCACAGCAGAUGUGACAUCCAAACUGAACCUUAGGGGAGACUAAGAAUUAGUGAGAAAAUGGGGCAAGAGGCAUUGACAGUUGCAGGAAACAUUAGCCCAAAACUGGAGUGUGAAAAGGCCUAUCCCAUUUGGUGAAUGGCUAACAGUCUGAUGUACCCGGAGUUAGGAGGAUGGAAAAUGAGGCAGAGAAGAAAGUUUCAAGCAAGGUAAAGAGGACAAUCCUUUAAGGACCCUGAAUUCGAUUUUCAGGGCCUUAGAUUUUUAGGACACGUGGAGUUUCUGAUUGCUUAUUGAGGGACUUUAUGGCAUAAUCAGAUUUGUGUCUUGCCCAGAUAUUUCUGUUAAGUUUGGAGAAGGAAAGAUUAAGAGGCAAGAAGUCCACUUAGGAAGGCAGGGCCAUGAAACAGGUACAUUCCCAAUGAGCUCUUAAGAGACAUUGAGGCCUCUGGUCCUUGAACUGUAUCCUGAGUAGCAGUUAUCUGUACAUUGUGACCAAAUAACCAAGGAUAACUGAAAAGAAGACUCAGGGGAAAGGUAGAGGGGCAAAUAACUGAAAUUUUAGGCUAACGUAAAAUACCUCUCCCCAAAAAACAUAAGAAAGGGUAAAGGCCAAGGCCAGGGGCUCUCAAACUUGGCAGAACAGAUUUGGAAUCACCUGAGGAGCUCUAAACACUACUGGUAACUGGGCCUCAUCCCAAGAGAUGCUGAUGAAACUGGUCUUGGGUACCACCAGGACAUUGGGAUGUGUACAAGCUCUAAAGGUGACUCUAAUGUGCAGUCAGGGGUCAAGAACCAUGAGUUAGUUCUUAUCAGAUCUAAUGAGUGUCUUAGCUCAAACUGCUAUAACAAAAUAUCAUAAACUGGAUGGCUUAUCAACAACAGAACUGUAUGUCGCACAGCUCUGGAACCUGGAAAUCUGAGGCCAGGGUGCCAGCAUGGUCAGAUUUGCACAGUAUAUCAUUUAUUCAUGUUCCUAUAUCAUCAGAACCCCUGUCGUUAUGCAUGCUUCCAAGAAUACCACAGUUUCCAGAAGUUUCUUCAGGACACUGCCAGAGAUCAUUUUCAGAACUAUUCUUGUCUUCUGCCUCUUCUGGGAGUCACGGCUGCUUCUUUACCAAUGACAGCUCUCCAGCAUUGCUUCUAUCCUCCCACCUACUAGAUAAAAUUACCAAGAUACCCAAUCAUCAAAUUCCUGGCACUUUUUGACAGUCCUGGCCCCAGGACUGCUCUCCACUUCCUGACAUAACCCAAUCCAAUCCUGACUCCGGACUUCCUUCAACCUUCCUAAGAAGCACUCAGUACAAAUCCUAAAUCUAUAAUAAAGACAUCUUACCAAGACAUCCCAUGGGCCCUAUUGUGUGCUCUCUCCCUUGCUGCAACAGCUAAACAAACCUAACUGUUUGGCCACAAGUAUGUUCCUGGUGGUCAUUGGCUGGUGAGUUUCAACAUCCUGAAAGACAAGUUACUUAUUCAG
Molecule: long non-coding RNA, 1515 nt
Organism: Hipposideros armiger (great roundleaf bat)
Lineage: Eukaryota; Metazoa; Chordata; Mammalia; Chiroptera; Hipposideridae
Exons: 5
Source: RefSeq, a predicted model, not a curated record